RNAcentral lists this long non-coding RNA (787 nucleotides) under Homo sapiens (human). RNAcentral's name for it is "HSALNT0330748". The record is from RNAcentral. Lineage: Eukaryota; Metazoa; Chordata; Mammalia; Primates; Hominidae.
UGAGGCACAGAAAGCCCAAGCUCUUGCACAAGGAUCAGAAGGGGGUAUAACCAGAAUUUGUUUCUCAGCAUCCUGACCAACAAUUAUUUUACCUACUAAACAGGGAAGCCUUUCAAAUAUAAUCCAGGGUAUCCGCUUCAUUUUACAACUAAAGAAAUGAAGGCUGGGUAAGGAUAAAGGACUCACAAAGAUCGUGUGUUUAGUUUCUGCUGGUCUAGACAUCUGGGUUCCAAAAGAAGAAUGCAUCUCCCAGGAGACAUGACAAUGAUUCCAUUCAACAGGAAGUUGAGACUGCCACCUGAACACUUUGGGCUCCUCAUGCCUCUGAAUCAACGGGCAAAGAAGAGAGUUAUAGAUCCUAACCACCCAGGAGAAAUUCGGUGGCCACUACACAAACAGAUCUUGAAAUUACAAGAUAUCCAACUUGAAGCAUGCAUUGGGAGAAGAAUAAAUAUCAUCCAAAGACAAAAAAACAACAACACGACGUUGUGUUCUACUAAAAGGAAAAAAGCCUAUUUUCAGAUGUACUUAGAAGAGAUACACCAUGUUAGCUUUUCUGACUCUGCGGCCAGGUGUUUGUAUUUAACUCCACGGUGAGGAGACUCAUCUUCUGACGGACCUAACCUAUACCAUCAAGCUCCAGCACCACAAGCAAAGACAAAAACCUUGCGGAAACUAUUUAACUAACUCCCACAAUUGCAUAAGGAUCUAAAUGAAAAUAUUUCUGCAGUGAACCAGUUCUAUUGUUUUAAAUAUCACCCUUAUUAAAGAGAGCUUUGACACUUUU